This 207-nucleotide ribosomal RNA is filed under the name uncultured bacterium. RNAcentral's name for it is "partial 16S ribosomal RNA". It matches the Rfam family "Bacterial small subunit ribosomal RNA", at positions 568 to 774 of the family's 1533-position model. The record is from RNAcentral.
CGCGUAGGCGGGCGUGCAAGUCAGAUGUGAAAUCCCGAAGCUCAACUUCGGAACAGCAUUUGAAACUGCAUGUCUAGAGGGUAGGCGGAGAAAAUAGAAUUCCACAAGUAGCGGUGAAAUGCGUAGAUAUGUGGAAGAAUACCGGUGGCGAAGGCGAUUUUCUAGCUUAUACCUGACGCUGAGGCGCGAAAGCAAGGGGAUCAAACA